UGGGGAAUCUUGCACAAUGGGGGAAACCCUGAUGCAGCGACGCCGCGUGAACGAUGAAGCCCUUCGGGGUGUAAAGUUCUUUCGACAGGAACGAUAAUGACGGUACCUGGAGAAGAAGCUGCGGCUAACUACGUGCCAGCAGCCGCGGUAAUACGUAGGCAGCGAGCGUUGUUCGGAGUUACUGGGCGUAAAGAGUGCGUAGGCGGCGAGCGAAGUUGGGUGUGAAAUCUCCCGGCUUAACCGGGAGGGUGCGCCGAAAACUGGUUGGCUGGAGUAUGGGAGAGGAAAGCGGAAUUCCUGGUGUAGCGGUGAAAUGCGUAGAUAUCAGGGGGAACACCUGCGGUGUAGACAGCUUUCUGGACCAAAACUGACGCUGAGGCACGAAAGCGUGGGUAGCAAACA
Molecule: ribosomal RNA, 402 nt
Filed under: uncultured bacterium
Lineage: Bacteria
Description: bacterial SSU rRNA
Rfam family: Bacterial small subunit ribosomal RNA
Source: RNAcentral